Molecule: transfer RNA, 71 nt
Filed under: Dipodomys ordii (Ord's kangaroo rat)
Lineage: Eukaryota; Metazoa; Chordata; Mammalia; Rodentia; Heteromyidae
Rfam family: tRNA
About the family: Transfer RNA (tRNA) molecules are approximately 80 nucleotides in length.
Source: Rfam by way of RNAcentral
UGGGAUGUAGCUCAAUGGUAGAGUGCUUGCCUUAAUAGGAACAAGAAUCUGAGUUCAAUCUCCCAUCCCUG